GGCCCAAUGGUCUAGUCGUAUGAUUCGCGCUUCGGGCUGAGCAAGAUGCGCGAGGUCCCGGGUUCAAUUCCCGGUUGGGCCC
Non-coding RNA from Cubamyces sp. BRFM 1775, 82 nucleotides. Lineage: Eukaryota; Fungi; Basidiomycota; Agaricomycetes; Polyporales; Polyporaceae. The record is from the annotation of a GenBank genome assembly.